Molecule: long non-coding RNA, 1047 nt
Filed under: Canis lupus dingo (dingo)
Lineage: Eukaryota; Metazoa; Chordata; Mammalia; Carnivora; Canidae
Description: lncRNA (ENSCAFG00020022584.1)
Source: RNAcentral
AGGGGGAGGCAGAGGUGGGGGCUCGGGAAAGCCGGAGGGUGUUGGUUUCUCCUUGGAUCUGGUAGUGAGCCAGUUCUUUUUUUUUUUUUUUUUUUUUAAAUUUUAAAAAUUUAUUCAUGAUAGAGAAAGAGGAAGAUAGAGGCAGAGACACAGGCAUUGGGAGAAGCAAGCUCCAUGCCAGGAGCCCGACGCGGGACUCGAACCCAGGACCCCAGGACCACGCCCCGGCCCAUAAAAGGCAGGCGCUAAACCGCUGCGCCAGCCAGGGAUCCCCAAGCCAGGUCUUUCCCUGCCGCUCGCACCCGGAGGAGGACGGGGAGGGACCUCCGCCCAGGACUCCUCGUGACCCGGGGGAUGGGGCGGGGCCGAGGGGCCGAGGGAGAAGGCGGAGACUUGGCGGCCGGGGUUCGCGUCCGAGCUCUGCGCGAAGCUGUCGGCGGGAGGCCGCCUCGGGUUUUAGCGGGACUACGGCGGUGUCUCUGGGUUAAGGGGGAGGGAGAGCCCUGGCUGGGCGGGCACCCCAGGCUUAAGGGGCAGGGUUUGGGCUCUCACUUGUGGGUUGGGAGUUGGAGCGGGGGGCUGUGGUGGGGUCAGACCCUCAACCGGGAGGGAACGGCCGCUCCAGGAACUUCCCCGCACCCCUUCCCCAACCCCACCCCGCUCUGGAAUGUAGGUCUCCUGACAUCCACUUCUUUGCUUGCUCUCUCCUCUGAAAUGCAGUUUCCCCAGAGGCUUUUUUAUUUUGCAGGUACGUUUUCUGAAGCGUGUUCUCUAAGGAGCUGUGCAAUUGCUUCCCGAGCCCUGUGGGCUCUGAAGAGCACCUCCAGCUGGUCAGACAGGGUUCCCAUAAAGACCGUCUUGACUCCUCAGGGCCCCUGUCUUUCAGCUCUGCCUUCUCAGGCCCCUCGUGUACUAGACAAGAUGGCAUUAAGAAGACCUGACUACAUUGUCUUUGAGGGAAGAAAUAUUGUCUUCUCCUUAAUCCUGGAUACUAUAUCCAAAGUCAAAACAUCAACACCAAAACAGAAAUCUUCUGAAAAAGGAUAA